UUAUGUGUUGAUACAAAUUCGUGAAACUUAUUUUUAAAAUGUCUUUUGGAAUAAAAUCAGAACGCUUCAAGUGCCAAAAAAAUUAAUGUUGUUUGUGAAAAUUACUUUCGAAAGUAAUCUGUGCAAUAACUGUUGUAAUCUGAUUGAGAUGAAUGGCAGUGUUGUUAAAGUAGAAGAGCCAGCGAACGCUUGUAUAAUUGGCUCCAAGUAUAGUGGCAGACCGAAAAUUGCUACAAGGAAUAGUACAAGAAAUAUAAGAAACUACAGAAUGAGAUUAAAUACCUUUUUAUUACCAAAACCAGUUUACUGUAAAUAAGAGGAAAUAAGUAAUUUUUAAGAGAAGUGCAAGUUAUGUACUUCUGUGGUAUUAUUAGUGGGAUUAAGGAAGUCCUGGAAGCUUGGUAUGAUAACUUCAUAAAUUUGUGGAUUAGAAUCCACUAUGACAGCAUACCAGACCAGCAGCAGGAAGCCAACUGCCAGGAAAUGAGUUGGUCACAAUCUGAACAUAGCUGUCACAUGCUUGUAGUUUCAGCCAAGGUACAUGAGAAGAAUCCUGUUGUUUACGAACGUAGAUCAUCCGCACACACCAUCUCAGCACAAGGAACAUCAGGCAUGAAAAAGGCAGAUCUGGUGCAAGUUGAUGAUGCGAAGUUGCUUCACAUGGAAUGUACUGAAUACGAGGUUGUUGCUGUGGUUUGCAGCCUGUGUGAGUUUGCAGAAGCGCUGUGCCAAUGUAAUGUUCAUCAUUAUGAACUUUGAAAGUGUGCAUUCCGUCUCAAAAUGAAAUUCCUGGCCACACCAGAUGUCCGCACGCAGUCGGGAGCAUAAAGCUGGUGGUGAACCAGUUAGAUGGGCAGAACCAGCUGUUCCGACAGCCAUCACAGAGACCAUUCAAUGUGGAAUGAUAUUAUGCAGUAUCUGGUGAUGCAGGACACAGGCUGAUCCUGUUUUGCUAUUUUCCUCGAGUAAAGGAAUGUGUACCCAACAUCUGUGGAGUAGUUCAGCCCUACGCAGCUGCUCUCAGACAACUCUCCCUGAGCUGGAACACGCUCUUGCCGCCUUUGGUACAGUUGCCGGAAGCAGUUCUGGAAUUACUGUGGCUGGAUGUCACACAGAGCAUCUUGAGUUGCAGCAAUAACUUCUUGCCUGCUGUUGAAACGAUGGCCUCUCAAAUGUUUUUCUCUCGAGGAAAGAGACAUCGGAUGGUGAGAGAUCAUGCGAUUAAGUUGAUGUGAUAACACGACAGUAUUGUGUUCAGCGAGCGAUUUUUGCACAGGAAUUCUGGGUUGUGUUAUCGUGCAGCAGAUUUAUAUCACCAGUCACUGGUCCCCUCCUGCAGCUGGUGCAACUUCUGUUUGAUCUUUCUUUGUUCAGAGUUGCAUCUGGAAUGAAUUUGUAGUGCACAGGACCACAAAACUCAGACUUCUGAUAUCACUGUAACUUUUUUAUCACCGUGAAUGAGGCGAACUGCAAGUCGUGGAUCAUGCUUUGUUUGUUAGUGAAAGAGAUGAAAAGUCUCGUCCAUGACAGUGAUGGACAGAGGGAGCAAAAGAUGUUACCAGAUGUCAUUGUGAGAUCACUGCAGAUUGUCAUCCACUCACUUUGCAUCCAAGGCGUCUUGUGCUGAGUAACUCGACGCAUGUUCAAAAAUCUCUUAAAACUCCAUGGCAAUUUCCAUGUCUUUGAAGAUCCUGCACUUUUGUCACCAUUCUUGCACUUGUUCUG
This is a non-coding RNA of Zootermopsis nevadensis, 1725 nucleotides long. Lineage: Eukaryota; Metazoa; Arthropoda; Insecta; Blattodea; Termopsidae. The record is from RefSeq and is a predicted model, not a curated record.